GAGCAGAGACUCAGCCAAAGAAUACAUAUUGUCAAUUGUGAAAAGGUCAGUGCGGGAAACAGAUUGUAUAGUUGCUCUGAGUGUGGAAAAAACUUCAGUGACUCCUCAUGCCUUGGAAAGCAUCAGAUGAUAUACACAAGCCAGAAACCGUACAGUUGCCUCCAAUGUGGGAAAAGCUUCUCACAGCGCUCUGUUCUUUAGAGACACAAGCGAUCCCACACUGGAGAGAAAUCACACACAUGUGCAGACUGUGGCAAAGGGUUCUGUGACAAAAAUUCCCUCAGCACACACCAGAGAGCCCACAAAGGAGAGAAACCAUUUGGAUGUUCUGAGUGUGGGAAACGGUUUGGUUAUGCUCCAAAUCUAGUCCGCCAUAAGAAGCUACACACAGGAGAGAAGCCAUACCAGUGCUCACAGUAUGGGAAAUGGUUUUCUCAGCCCUCAGACCUUCUAAGACAUGAGAUGAUCUGCACGGGAGAGAAGCUGCACAAAUGCACAGACUGUAAUAAAGGUUUUAGCCAGAAGGCAUCCCUCAUUGGGCACCAGAGAACCCACACAGGAGAGAAGCCAUACGAAUGCUCUGAGUGUGAAAAGAGUUUUUGUAGUUUUUCUGGUUUCCGUAAACACCAGGGAAUCCACAUAGGAGUUAAACUGUAAGGGUGCUUGGUGUAUAGGACUGUGGUGUGAAACUUUCUGAAAUCUUAGAUGGUGGGGAAAGUGUGGUUCAAUUAUAGGGGAGUCCUAAACAUAUUGAUCAGUUUCAGGUGAUCUGCAGUUGCAGUUCACAGGAUACCCACCCACCCAAUUAUUUCUUAGGACACUAUAGAAUCAGAGGUCUACAAAAAUCACCUUGAUUCAUUUCAUUCAUUCAGGUUAUUUAUAGUCUUCCUUUCUCCCUGAGAUUCAAGGCAGAUUACAUAGCAUCAGUCAAGUAUGAUCAACAGGAUGGGACAUCCAAUGUACGGUGCAAUAGAGUUUGGACUUCAGAAAUCUGAAAACAGACAGAGAUCUAAUACAGAGCUGAAACAAACCAUAAGCGUUUCAACGUGAUGCAUUAAAUGGUAGAGAAAUU
Heteronotia binoei (common prickly gecko) is the source of this 1072-nucleotide long non-coding RNA. RefSeq lists it as uncharacterized. The transcript has 2 exons. NCBI's taxonomy places the organism in Eukaryota, Metazoa, Chordata, Lepidosauria, Squamata, Gekkonidae. The record is from RefSeq and is a predicted model, not a curated record.